UAGAGUUUGAUCAUGGCUCAGAACGAACGCUGGCGGCGCGUAUUAAGCAUGCAAGUCGAACGGUAGAGCAUUUUUUUUAAGAUGUUUGAGAGUGGCGGACUGGUGAGUAACGCGUAGAUGAUCUAGCUUCAGGUUGGGGAUAGCCUAUGGAAACAUGGGGUAAUACCGAAUGCUGUUGUUGAUAGUAGGUUAACGAUGAAAGGAGCUACGGCUUUGCCUGAAGAUGAGUCUGCGUCUGAUUAGCUUGUUGGUGGGGUAAAGGCCUACCAAGGCGACGAUCAGUAGCCGGCCUGAGAGGGUGUACGGCCACAUUGGGACUGAGAUACGGCCCAGACUCCUACGGGAGGCAGCAGCUAAGAAUCUUCCGCAAUGGGCGAGAGCCUGACGGAGCGACGCCGCGUGGGUGAAGAAGGCCGAGAGGUUGUAAAGCCCUUUUCUCAUGGAGGAAUAAGGAAUGCAGGGAAUGGCAUUUUG
RNAcentral lists this ribosomal RNA (474 nucleotides) under Alvinella pompejana symbiont apg10. RNAcentral's name for it is "bacterial SSU rRNA". It matches the Rfam family "Bacterial small subunit ribosomal RNA", at positions 1 to 471 of the family's 1533-position model. Lineage: Bacteria; Pseudomonadati; Spirochaetota; Spirochaetia; Spirochaetales; Spirochaetaceae. The record is from RNAcentral.